CCUACGGAGGCAGCAGUCGGGAAUAUUGCGCAAUGGAGGAAACUCUGACGCAGUGACGCCGCGUAUAGGAAGAAGGUUUUCGGAUUGUAAACUAUUGUCGUUAGGGAAGAUAAAAGACUGUACCUAAGGAGGAAGCCCCGGCUAACUAUGUGCCAGCAGCCGCGGUAAUACAUAGGGGGCAAGCGUUAUCCGGAAUUAUUGGGUGUAAAGGGUGCGUAGACGGAAGAACAAGUUGGUUGUGAAAUCCCUCGGCUCAAAUGAGGAACUGCAACCAAAACUAUUCUCCUUGAGUGUCGGAGAGGAAAGUGGAAUUCCUAGUGUAGCGGUGAAAUGCGUAGAUAUUGCGCAGAACUCCGAUUGCGAAGGCAGCAUACCGGCGGCGAUCUGACGCUGAGGCACGAAAGCGUGGGUAUCGAACAGGAUUAGAUACCCUGGUAGUC
RNAcentral lists this ribosomal RNA (440 nucleotides) under uncultured bacterium. RNAcentral describes it as "partial 16S ribosomal RNA". It matches the Rfam family "Bacterial small subunit ribosomal RNA", at positions 338 to 795 of the family's 1533-position model. The record is from RNAcentral.